RNAcentral lists this transfer RNA (87 nucleotides) under Spirochaetaceae bacterium 4572_59. RNAcentral describes it as "tRNA-Leu". It matches the Rfam family "tRNA". From Rfam's summary of the family: Transfer RNA (tRNA) molecules are approximately 80 nucleotides in length. Their secondary structure includes four short double-helical elements and three loops (D, anti-codon, and T loops). Further hydrogen bonds mediate the characteristic L-shaped molecular structure. tRNAs have two regions of fundamental functional importance: the anti-codon, which is responsible for specific mRNA codon recognition, and the 3' end, to which the tRNAs corresponding amino acid is attached (by aminoacyl-tRNA synthetases). tRNAs cope with the degeneracy of the genetic code in two manners: having more than one tRNA (with a specific anti-codon) for a particular amino acid; and 'wobble' base-pairing, i.e. permitting non-standard base-pairing at the 3rd anti-codon position. Lineage: Bacteria; Pseudomonadati; Spirochaetota; Spirochaetia; Spirochaetales; Spirochaetaceae. The record is from RNAcentral.
GCCUGGAUGGUGAAAUUGGUAGACACGCUAGUUUCAGGGACUAGUGCUCGCAAGGGCGUGGAGGUUCGAGUCCUCUUCCAGGCACUA